RNAcentral lists this ribosomal RNA (426 nucleotides) under uncultured archaeon. RNAcentral describes it as "bacterial SSU rRNA". It matches the Rfam family "Archaeal small subunit ribosomal RNA", at positions 322 to 747 of the family's 1478-position model. The record is from RNAcentral.
CCUACGGGGGGCAGCAGGCGCGCAAACUCUCCAAUGUGCGAAAGCGUGAGAGGGGAACUCCUAGUGCUUACGGUUUAUCCGUAGGCUUUUGCCAUGUGUAAAUAGCAUGGCGAAUAAGUGGUGGGUAAGACUGGUGCCAGCCGCCGCGGUAACACCAGCGCCACAAGUGGCCAUCGCGAUUAUUGGGCCUAAAGCGUUCGUAGUCGGUUCGGUGCAUCCUCUGUGAAAUUGCAGCGCUUAACGUUGCAGCAUGCGGAGGACACGACCGAGCUCGAGACCGGGAGGCGUUGAGGGUAUUCCAGGGGGACCGGUAAAAUGGUAUAAUCCCUGGAGGACCACCUGUGGCGAAGGCGCUCAACGAGAACGGAUCUGACGAUGAGGAACGAAAGCCAGGGGAGCAAACCGGAUUAGAUACCCCCGUAGUCC